UACGAAGGGGGCUAGCGUUGUUCGGAAUUACUGGGCGUAAAGCGCGCGCAGGCGGUCUUCCAAGUCAGUGGUGAAAGCCUGGAGCUCAACUCCAGAACUGCCAUUGAAACUGUUAGACUUGAGUACGAGAGAGGUGAGUGGAAUUCCCAGUGUAGAGGUGAAAUUCGUAGAGAUUGGGAAGAACACCAGUGGCGAAGGCGGCUCACUGGACUGGUAUUGACGCUGAGGUGCGAAAGCGUGGGGAGCAAACAGG
RNAcentral lists this ribosomal RNA (253 nucleotides) under uncultured bacterium. RNAcentral's name for it is "partial 16S ribosomal RNA". It matches the Rfam family "Bacterial small subunit ribosomal RNA", at positions 524 to 776 of the family's 1533-position model. The record is from RNAcentral.